Molecule: ribosomal RNA, 253 nt
Filed under: uncultured bacterium
Lineage: Bacteria
Description: partial 16S ribosomal RNA
Rfam family: Bacterial small subunit ribosomal RNA
Source: RNAcentral
UACAGAAGUCUCAAGCGUUGUUCGGAUUCAUUGGGCGUAAAGGGUGCGUAGGCGGCGCGGUAAGUCGGGUGUGAAAUCUCGGGGCUUAACUCCGAAACUGCAUUCGAUACUACCGUGCUUGAGGACUGGAGAGGAGACUGGAAUUUACGGUGUAGCGGUGAAAUGCGUAGAUAUCGUAAGGAAGACCAGUGGCGAAGGCGGGUCUCUGGACAGUUCCUGACGCUGAGGCACGAAGGCCAGGGGAGCAAACGGG